GUGUCUGCCGGUAGAUCCCCCGUCUUUGUGCGGCCGACUACCGGCGCCGUGUCCCGUCGUUUGUGUGGCUUAUGUUACAGUUGCCUUUCAAGUGCUUGCGUGUUGGUACCCGAACUACGGGCAUUGGUGCGUUGUACUGAGUUGCCUCGCGGUGGACGCCUUCKGGUGUGCCGCUGCGGCCAAAUGGCGUUUGCGGCGUUUCCUCGUUGUGCCGGCAGGUUUACUCUGCCGGUGCUAUCAAGGCAACCUCGCUCCCGCUGUUGGUCUCGGAUGUUGCCUAUGUUAAAGUGUCUUGGCCCAUUUUGGUUGCCUUGACCYGACCCUAAGAAGCUCUCCGAAUUGAGAACAACCGGAACAGGUGUUGCCUCUACCUCUCCACAGUUAGUGGUAGGAUUACGCAACAUUCUGCGYCGAUCCUCAAACAAGUAGGAACGAGCUUAGCCCGCUCAAUCGCGACAACCGGCCCGGCUGUUGCCUCUGCCUUGACACGCAAGUGGAUGGGCGGACAACUUCCGACGCUGGACGUCAAAGAGGACG
RNAcentral lists this unclassified non-coding RNA (537 nucleotides) under Poa caucasica. RNAcentral describes it as "partial external transcribed spacer". Lineage: Eukaryota; Viridiplantae; Streptophyta; Magnoliopsida; Poales; Poaceae. The record is from RNAcentral.